Molecule: ribosomal RNA, 603 nt
Filed under: Inocybaceae sp.
Lineage: Eukaryota; Fungi; Basidiomycota; Agaricomycetes; Agaricales; Inocybaceae
Description: partial large subunit ribosomal RNA
Rfam family: Eukaryotic large subunit ribosomal RNA
Source: RNAcentral
UGAAAAGAACUUUGGAAAGAGAGUUAAACAGUACGUGAAAUUGCUGAAAGGGAAACGCUUGAAGUCAGUCACGUCAGCUUGGAAUCAACCCUGUUUUUGCUGGGUGUACUUUCUUGUUAACGGGUCAGCAUCAAUUUUGACUGUUGGAUAAAGAUAUUGGGAAUGUGGCAUCUUUAGAUGUGUUAUAGCCCAUUAUUGCAUACAGCAGUUAGGAUUGAGGAACUCAGCAUGCUACAAGGCCGGGUUUCGACCACGUUCAUGCUUAGGAUGCUGGCAUAAUGGCUUUAAUCGACCCGUCUUGAAACACGGACCAAGGAGUCUAACAUGCCUGCAAGUGUUUGGGUGGAAAACCCAUGCGCGUAAUGAAAGUGAAGUUGAGAUCCCUUUGAGGAGCAUUGACGCCCGGACCAGACCUUUUGUGACGGAUCCGCGGUAGAGCAUGUAUGUUGGGACCCGAAAGAUGGUGAACUAUGCCUGAAUAGGGUGAAGCCAGAGGAAACUCUGGUGGAGGCUCGUAGCGAUUCUGACGUGCAAAUCGAUCGUCAAAUUUGGGUAUAGGGGCGAAAGACUAAUCGAACCAUCUAGUAGCUGGUUCCUGCCGAA